CUCUGACAUGAAAACAUAAUGUGUUAUGUUUGAAACACGUCCACGGUGUUCAAAAUGUGUUCCUUCUUAUCCCGCCUUCUUUCUUUCAUAAGUCCUUUACUUUUAUUCCAGAAUGUGCAUGAAAAGCAUCUUCAGUGAAGUUCAAAUCUCCAGAACGUAUACUCGCAUGCGUCCUCAGGGCCACUCUGAGCUUUAAUGGGGUCCGCGCUUGGAUCUUUAAUUAAUGCACGCAGGGCGUGAAAUUGAUUUACAGAAGUGACAGAUCUCGGGGGGACUUAGAUUUGUUGCGAUGCUCCGUGGCGACUGCUCUCCCACUCCACUGGUUAUAUCCUCCUGGAUGGUUCUGCUUUAAUCAGAUAAACAGCCGUGGGCCUUGGAAAACUCGUCUUUGUGUAACACCGCCAAGAGUUUAAACCCCCGAGCCGUUCCGACUCCUCCAUCUGGGAACGAGGCUGAUCUUCAGCGCUUAACUCUGCAUCACAAGUUCACGGCAAUUGGUUUUUGCGUCUGCGUUCUCGAAGGCUGCCCUCAGAUGGCAUUGUUUGGAGUUCAUAUCCCGAGCUUUGCGAGCCCUGGCACCCUUCCUGGCUCGGCGGGUGGCGGUAACACAGCGUUGACUUGGAAACGACCCCUUUGGCAAGUGUUUGCAGGGCUUGCUAGCUUCCUUGUUUUUGGCCAGACAAUACACCACAGCCACAUUAAACACUUAUGGAAAACCGCAAGAGCACCAGGACUGGCUCGAGUCGACAAAUACGUCGCUCAGAAACUGCAGUGCUGUUUGCAUGUAGGGCUUCACGAUAUAUCGGAAAUAAAAUUUAUAUCGCGAUAUGGCUUAGUGUGGCUCGCACUGGACACGAUUAAAUAAAUAUAUGCACUACCAGUGAAGCUCAGCAUUUACAGUUCAUUUACUGUGAAUUGAGCUGUUCUGAGACACUGAUAUCAUGAGUGAAACCGGCAGCACGUAUUCUUAUUUACCAGCAACACGUCAAAAUAAAAGCUUGAUGGAUAUUAUAAUGUUGGGUAUUGUAAUUUUACAAUGAAAUAAAAGUAUUUUUAUUACUCA
Molecule: long non-coding RNA, 1063 nt
Organism: Ctenopharyngodon idella (grass carp)
Lineage: Eukaryota; Metazoa; Chordata; Actinopteri; Cypriniformes; Xenocyprididae
Exons: 3
Source: RefSeq, a predicted model, not a curated record